CUACGGGGCGCUGCAGGCGCGAAACCUCUACAAUGCACGAAAGUGUGAUAGGGGGAUCCUAAGUGCUUACACUCAGUGUAGGCUUUUGCCAAGAGUAAAUACCUUGGCGAAUAAGUGGUGGGUAAGACCGGUGCCAGCAGCCGCGGUAACACCGGCGCCACGAGUGGCAUACACAAUUAUUGGGCCUAAAGCGUCCGUAGCCGGUCAGAUAAAUCUUUUGGGAAAUCAUGGGGCUUAACUCCAUGGCGUGGAGAGGACACUGUCUGACUUGGAACCGGGAGGAGUCAGAGGUAUUCUGGGGGGAGCGGUAAAAUGUUAUAAUCCCCGGAGGACCACCUGUGGCGAAGGCGUCUGACUAGAACGGAUUCGACGGUGAGGGACGAAGGCCAGGGGAGCGAACCGGAUUAGAUACCCCCGUAGUC
This 422-nucleotide ribosomal RNA is filed under the name uncultured archaeon. RNAcentral's name for it is "partial 16S ribosomal RNA". It matches the Rfam family "Archaeal small subunit ribosomal RNA", at positions 323 to 746 of the family's 1478-position model. The record is from RNAcentral.